This 441-nucleotide ribosomal RNA is filed under the name uncultured bacterium. RNAcentral's name for it is "partial 16S ribosomal RNA". It matches the Rfam family "Bacterial small subunit ribosomal RNA", at positions 338 to 795 of the family's 1533-position model. The record is from RNAcentral.
CCUACGGGAGGCAGCAGUGGGGAAUAUUGCACAAUGGGGGAAACCCUGAUGCAGCGACGCCGCGUGAGUGAAGAAGUAUUUCGGUAUGUAAAGCUCUAUCAGCAGGGAAGAAGAAAGACGGUACCUGACUAAGAAGCCCCGGCUAACUACGUGCCAGCAGCCGCGGUAAUACGUAGGGGGCAAGCGUUAUCCGGAUUUACUGGGUGGAAAGGGAGCGUAGACGGCUGUGCAAGUCUGAAGUGAAAGCCCAGGGCUCAACCCUGGGACUGCUUUGGAAACUGUGGAGCUAGAGUGCUGGAGAGGUAAGUGGAAUGCCUAGUGUAGCGGUGAAAUGCGUAGAUAUUAGGAGGAACACCAGUGGCGAAGGCGGCUUACUGGACAGUAACUGACGUUGAGGCUCGAAAGCGUGGGGAGCAAACAGGAUUAGAUACCCUAGUAGUC